AUUGAACGCUGGCGGCAGGCCUAACACAUGCAAGUCGAACGAGUGGCGGACGGGUGAGUAAUGUCUGGGAAAUUGCCUGAUGGAGGGGGUGAACUAAUGGAAACGGUAGCUAAUACCGCAUACCAUCAGAUGUGCCCAGAUGGGAUUAGCUUGUUGGUGGGGUACCGGGUCACCAAGGCGACGAUCCCUAGCUGGUCUGAGAGGAUGACCGGCCACACUGGAACUGAGACACGGUCCAGACUCCGACGGGAGGCAGCAGUGGGGAAGAGUGGAAAAUGGGCGCAAGCGUGAUGCAGCCAUGCCGCGUGUCUGAAGAAGGCCUGCGGGUUGUAAAGUACUUUCAGCGGGGAGGCGUUACCCGCAGAAGAAGCACCGGCUAACUACGUGCCAGCAGCCGCGGUAAUUC
Molecule: ribosomal RNA, 406 nt
Filed under: uncultured bacterium
Lineage: Bacteria
Description: partial 16S ribosomal RNA
Rfam family: Bacterial small subunit ribosomal RNA
Source: RNAcentral